GGUGCGUGGAAUUCCACGCGAGUGCCGGGGAAUUCCUGGGGAGCCGGGCUUCUGCUUUGGCUCCCAGCGUGUUGACCGAGCCCGCUUCGCACAGCCCUUCCUAGGGUGUGGAGAGCGGGCCCCGCCCUGAAGGGGCACCGUGGGCUGGGGGGCCUGUUUUGGAGCAGGCACCUGUGGCCGAACUCCGUGACCAUGAAGGUCAAGGUCAUCCCCGUGCUCGAGGACAACUAUAUGUACCUGGUCAUCGAGGAGCUCACGCGCGAGGCGGUGGCCGUGGACGUGGCCGUGCCCAAGAGGGUGAGGGCAGGCCGCGGGCGGCAGGGACCCGGCCGUGCCCCCCGAGAGCCUCCCCGACCCCCCUGGCAGGAGCGAGCCCCCACGUGCUCUGCUCUCCGGAAGUCAUUGGCAGCUGGGGUUCCUUGAUUAUCUUGGGGCUCCCUGAAGUUACGGCGCCUCUGGCCUCCGCCCUUUCGCUGCUGCCUGGCGGUCCCUGCACGCGCUGGGCGCAGUCACCGCCCGCUGGGUCCCCGCUCCCCGGCGCCACCCGGGGCUCUGGCCGGCCUGGGGCAGUGCGCGCGGCGGAUCUGGCGCCCCGAUAUGGAGGGAGUGGGCCACCGGGACCGUCUGUGUUAUCGUCACUCCCGUCCCUUUCAGCUGCUGGAGAUCGUGGGCAGGGAGGGGGUGUCUCUGACCGCUGUGCUGACCACCCACCAUCACUGGGACCACGCGCGGGGAAACCCGGAGCUGGCGCGGCUGCGUCCCGGGCUGGCGGUGCUGGGCGCGGACGAGCGCAUCUUCUCGCUGACGCGCAGGCUGGCGCACGGCGAGGAGCUGCGGGUGAGCGCGCGCUCCCGGGAGGGGCGGGGAGGGCGCCCCGGGUCCGCCCACCCUCACAGGUCCGCCUGCUCCUCCGCCGCAGUUCGGGGCCAUCCACGUGCGUUGCCUCCUGACGCCCGGCCACACCUCCGGCCACAUGAGCUACUUCCUGUGGGAGGACGAUUGCCCGGACCCACCCGCCCUGUUCUCGGGUACCCGCAGCGCGGAGCGCGCCCACCCCGCCUCCCGCCGGCCCCGCCCCAUCUGCUCUGACCCGUCCUCCCCCGCCAGGCGACGCGCUGUCGGUGGCCGGCUGCGGCUCGUGCCUGGAGGGCAGCGCCCAGCAGAUGUACCAGAGCCUGGCCGAGCUGGGUACCCUGCCCCCCGAGACGGUGAGCGGGCCUGGGCCCUCCCCUCCUCUCUCGUGGGCACAGGCCCCACGCUCCGCACCCUCACUGUGCCAGGGGUGCAGAGUGAAUGCCCACCUGAGGGCAGACCGGGCAGGGGAGGGCCAGGCCACCGGCGCGAGCACUUUCCCCGCUUCCUGGCCGCGUGCGCGCUCACCGAGCGCUCUUCUUCCAGAAGGUGUUCUGCGGCCACGAGCACACGCUCAGCAACCUGGAGUUUGCGCAGAAAGUGGAGCCCUGCAACGACCACGUGAGAGCCAAGCUGUCCUGGGCUAAGAAGAGGGAUGAGGAUGACGUGCCCACAGUGCCGUCGACUCUGGGCGAGGAGCGCCUCUACAACCCCUUCCUGCGGGUGGCGUGAGUAUGGUUGUUGUCCCGGGGCCUCCACCGUUACGUGGACCCUUAGGAAGGCAUCUGGGGACCGCGUGUUGGGCUGAGUGAACAUCUCUGGCUUGGGGGAGGCUGCUCAUUAAGUGUCUGCCUGCCCGCCCACCCCUCGGCGCCAUCUUCCCGCGUGGGCAGUGGACCCUGCGCCUCACUGCACCCCUCCCUGCAGAGAGGAGCCGGUGCGCAAGUUCACGGGCAAGGCGGUCCCCGCCGACGUCCUGGAGGCGCUCUGCAAGGAGCGGGCGCGCUUCGAACAGGCGGGCGAGCCGCGGCAGCCACAGGCGCGGGCCCUCCUUGCGCUGCAGUGGGGGCUCCUGAGUGCAGCCCCACACGAGUGAGCCACCCAGACCCUCACAGGGCUGGGGCCUGCGUUCCUCCUCCUGACCUCGGCCAGCUGGACCCACGCGAGGGCCACCUCUGGAACCUUCUUCGAGGUCCUGGCCAGCCAUCUGCCCAGCCUCGGAGGGUGGGCAAGCUGGUGCUUCCUGGGUGGACACACAGGACCACUCAGUGGGGCCCGUGUGGGCGCCGAGACCUGGGUGCCUGCGAAGUGGGGUACACGGGGCCUCCGAACUACGAAUAAAGCUUUGAAAGGCC
Molecule: small RNA, 2207 nt
Filed under: Pongo abelii (Sumatran orangutan)
Lineage: Eukaryota; Metazoa; Chordata; Mammalia; Primates; Hominidae
Description: retained intron
Source: RNAcentral